Molecule: unclassified non-coding RNA, 212 nt
Filed under: eukaryotic plankton environmental sample
Lineage: Eukaryota
Description: sequence contains 18S rRNA gene
Source: RNAcentral
GCGGUGUGUACAAAGGGCAGGGACGUAAUCAACGCGAUCUGAUGAAUCACGCUUACUAGGUAUUCCUCGUUGAAGAACAAUAAUUCCACCGGGGUUUUCCCAUCCCGACAGAGUUUCACAAGAUUACCCAUACCUUCCGGCAAAGGUGGUAGACUCGCUGGCUCUGUCAGUGUAGCGCGCGUGCGGCCCAGAACAUCUAAGGGCAUCACAGA